UAGGGAAUCUUCGGCAAUGGACGAAAGUCUGACCGAGCAACGCCGCGUGAGUGAAGAAGGUUUUCGGAUCGUAAAACUCUGUUGUUAGAGAAGAACAAGGACGUUAGUAACUGAACGUCACCUGACGGUAUCUAACCAGAAAGCCACGGCUAACUACGUGCCAGCAGCCGCGGUAAUACGUAGGUGGCAAGCGUUGUCCGGAUUUAUUGGGCGUAAAGCGAGCGCAGGCGGUUUCUUAAGUCUGAUGUGAAAGCCCCCGGCUCAACCGGGGAGGGUCAUUGGAAACUGGGAGACUUGAGUGCAGAAGAGGAGAGUGGAAUUCCAUGUGUAGCGGUGAAAUGCGUAGAUAUAUGGAGGAACACCAGUGGCGAAGGCGGCUCUCUGGUCUGUAACUGACGCUGAGGCUCGAAAGCGUGGGGAGCAAACAGG
RNAcentral lists this ribosomal RNA (429 nucleotides) under Chloroflexota bacterium. Its description in RNAcentral is "Chloroflexi bacterium partial 16S ribosomal RNA". It matches the Rfam family "Bacterial small subunit ribosomal RNA", at positions 355 to 776 of the family's 1533-position model. Lineage: Bacteria; Bacillati; Chloroflexota. The record is from RNAcentral. RNAcentral also lists the same sequence under 1 other name.